GACGAACGCUGGCGGCGUGCUUAACACAUGCAAGUCGAACGGAAAGGCCCUGCUUUUGUGGGGUGCUCGAGUGGCGAACGGGUGAGUAACAUGUGAGUAACCUGCCCUUGACUUUGGGAUAACUUCAGGAAACUGGGGCUAAUACCGGAUAGGAGCUCCUGCUGCAUGGUGGGGGUUGGAAAGUUUCGGCGGUUGGGGACGGACUCGCGGCUUAUCAGCUUGUUGGUGGGGUAGUGGCUUACCAAGGCUUUGACGGGUAGCCGGCCUGAGAGGGUGACCGGCCACAUUGGGACUGAGAUACGGCCCAGACUCCUACGGGAGGCAGCAGUGGGGAAUAUUGCACAAUGGGCGGAAGCCUGAUGCAGCAACGCCGCGUGCGGGAUGACGGCCUUCGGGUUGUAAACCGCUUUCGCCUGUGACGAAGCGUGAGUGACGGUAAUGGGUAAAGAAGCACCGGCUAACUACGUGCCAGCAGCCACGGUGAUACGUAGGGUGCGAGCGUUGUCCGGAUUUAUUGGGCGUAAAGGGCUCGUAGGUGGUUGAUCGCGUCGGAAGUGUAAUCUUGGGGCUUAACCCUGAGCGUGCUUUCGAUACGGGUUGACUUGAGGAAGGUAGGGGAGAAUGGAAUUCCUGGUGGAGCGGUGGAAUGCGCAGAUAUCAGGAGGAACACCAGUGGCGAAGGCGGUUCUCUGGGCCUUUCCUGACGCUGAGGAGCGAAAGCGUGGGGAGCGAACAGGCUUAGAUACCCUGGUAGUCCACGCUGUAAACGGUGGGUACUAGGUGUGGGGUCCAUUCCACGGGUUCCGUGCCGUAGCUAACGCUUUAAGUACCCCGCCUGGGGAGUACGGCCGCAAGGCUAAAACUCAAAGGAAUUGACGGGGCCCCGCACAAGCGGCGGAGCAUGCGGAUUAAUUCGAUGCAACGCGUAGAACCUUACCUGGGUUUGACAUGGAUCGGGAGUGCUCAGAGAUGGGUGUGCCUCUUUUGGGGUCGGUUCACAGGUGGUGCAUGGCUGUCGUCAGCUCGUGUCGUGAGAUGUUGGGUUAAGUCCCGCAACGAGCGCAACCCUUGUUCACUGUUGCCAGCACGUUAUGGUGGGGACUCAGUGGAGACCGCCGGGGUCAACUCGGAGGAAGGUGGGGAUGACGUCAAGUCAUCAUGCCCCUUAUGUCCAGGGCUUCACGCAUGCUACAAUGGCUGGUACAGAGAGUGGCGAGCCUGUGAGGGUGAGCGAAUCUCGGAAAGCCGGUCUCAGUUCGGAUUGGGGUCUGCAACUCGACCUCAUGAAGUCGGAGUCGCUAGUAAUCGCAGAUCAGCAACGCUGCGGUGAAUACGUUCCCGGG
This 1343-nucleotide ribosomal RNA is filed under the name uncultured bacterium. Its description in RNAcentral is "16S ribosomal RNA". It matches the Rfam family "Bacterial small subunit ribosomal RNA", at positions 28 to 1378 of the family's 1533-position model. The record is from RNAcentral.